RNAcentral lists this long non-coding RNA (1070 nucleotides) under Musa acuminata (dwarf banana). Its description in RNAcentral is "long non-coding RNA (MACU_LNC001492)". The record is from RNAcentral. Lineage: Eukaryota; Viridiplantae; Streptophyta; Magnoliopsida; Zingiberales; Musaceae.
UCGGAUAUUCCGGAGACAUCAUGGAUGGGUUCCAGCCAGUUUCCUCCAUCUUCUUCGGGCAGCUGAAGCAGGUCCAUUGGUUCUGCUCCAGUGUUCUUUCUCGCCUUCUUUUCUAUCUUUACACACAGUAGACUCUGUUUCCUUCUUCCUCUUCUUCUUCUUCUUUUCGGUGGCUGAUAGCAAAUAAUCAAUGUAUUUUUCUUAUUUGAAUGGAUUUUCUAAACUUAUUCCAAUAACACUAAAAUUGCAUGACAAAAUUACCCAAAAAAGAAAGAAAAUAUUGCAGAUUAUUCUUUAUGAUAAGAAAGAAGAAAUCAAUUUUCCUCUACAGAAGGAAAGUAUGAUGCAGAAUAAUAUUUCUAUGCUACCAUACAAUUGUACAGAAGCUAUUAUUGUUUUAUGAGGGAUUUAUUUCUUCAUCCAAAAAAUACUCACAAGACGAACAGUUCCAACGAAAUCAAAUGACAAUUACACAUGUUGAUUUAGCUUUGUUUAGGUUAUCAUUAUUGGAUUCCUUUGGUAUCGAAUCCAUUCGACACGAUUGAAUCGGAUUAAGCAGCCAUUCGGGUAUAAAUAUUUGUUGGAUUCGGAGCAGUCUUAUAGAAACCUACCCGAUCUAACCGACCGACCUUUCCAAUCACGCGCAUCGAGCGAGCAUGACGGCGGCGAGGAGGCCGGCCUCCAAGAACUCCGGGGCCAGACAAGGAGAACGGCCGCCCGCGCGACACCGUAGCUGCAGGAGCGUUUCAAGAGUGGGGAUCAUCGGUCGCCAGAGGAACCACGGAGAUUGGGAGAUGGGCAGGAGGAAGAGGGAGUGAGGGAGAGGGCCGCGCGAAGCAUUAGCGGAUCGAGAAGACAUGAUGGGGACGUUUACUGGGGACUGGAGAGAGCGAGGAGCAGAAAGAGGGCAAGGGAACGAGAGCUCGAGAGGAGGAUAAGGGAAAGAGAAUUAGGUCUCAUCUCCUUCUUUCUUCCCUCUUUUUGGUUCUGUGGGAACCGACUCAAAAUUGAGUCAGACUUGGGCUCAAUUAACCGGACCGGUUCUUCACUGAACCGGACCGAGUCACGUG